AGAUUAAGUUAUUAAGGGCGCACGGUGGAUGCCUUGGCACUAGAAGCCGAUGAAGGACGUUACUAACGACGAUAUGCUUUGGGGAGCUGUAAGUAAGCUUUGAUCCAGAGAUUUCCGAAUGGGGAAACCCAGCAUGAGUUAUGUCAUGUUAUCGAUAUGUGAAUACAUAGCAUAUCAGAAGGCACACCCGGAGAACUGAAACAUCUUAGUACCCGGAGGAAGAGAAAGAAAAUUCGAUUCCCUUAGUAGCGGCGAGCGAAACGGGAAGAGCCCAAACCAACAAGCUUGCUUGUUGGGGUUGUAGGACACUCUAUACGGAGUUACAAAGGACGACAUUAGACGAAUCAUCUGGAAAGAUGAAUCAAAGAAGGUAAUAAUCCUGUAGUCGAAAAUGUUGUCUCUCUUGAGUGGAUCCUGAGUACGACGGAACACGUGAAAUUCCGUCGGAA
This 449-nucleotide ribosomal RNA is filed under the name Staphylococcus aureus. RNAcentral's name for it is "bacterial LSU rRNA". It matches the Rfam family "Bacterial large subunit ribosomal RNA", at positions 1 to 442 of the family's 2925-position model. Lineage: Bacteria; Bacillati; Bacillota; Bacilli; Caryophanales; Staphylococcaceae. The record is from RNAcentral.